GAACGCUAGCGGCAGGCUUAACACAUGCAAGUCGAGGGGUAGAAGGAGCUUGCUCCUUUGAGACCGGCGCACGGGUNCGUAACGCGUAUGCAAUCUACCUUUUGCAGAGGGAUAGCCCAGAGAAAUUUGGAUUAAUACCUCAUAGUAUAGUACUUUGGCAUCAAGGAACUAUUAAAGUCACAACGGCAAAAGAUGAGCAUGCGUCCCAUUAGCUAGUUGGUAAGGUAACGGCUUACCAAGGCUACGAUGGGUAGGGGUCCUGAGAGGGAGAUCCCCCACACUGGUACUGAGACACGGACCAGACUCCUACGGGAGGCAGCAGUGAGGAAUAUUGGACAAUGGGCGCAAGCCUGAUCCAGCCAUGCCGCGUGCAGGAUGACGGUCCUAUGGAUUGUAAACUGCUUUAUACAGGAAGAAACACUCCGACGUGUCGGAGCUUGACGGUACUGUAAGAAUAAGGAUCGGCUAACUCCGUG
This 476-nucleotide ribosomal RNA is filed under the name uncultured bacterium. Its description in RNAcentral is "bacterial SSU rRNA". It matches the Rfam family "Bacterial small subunit ribosomal RNA", at positions 31 to 507 of the family's 1533-position model. The record is from RNAcentral.